Regulatory RNA element from Carnobacterium maltaromaticum LMA28, 106 nucleotides. It matches the Rfam family "THF (Tetrahydrofolate) riboswitch aptamer". From Rfam's summary of the family: THF riboswitch presents a pseudoknot that joins P1-P2 and the loop of P3 and two THF binding. The record is from Rfam. NCBI's taxonomy places the organism in Bacteria, Bacillati, Bacillota, Bacilli, Lactobacillales, Carnobacteriaceae.
AACAGAGUAGGGAAUAAAGCGUUAAGUGCUAGAAGGAUGGGAUGUUGCCUUUUGGACGAAAAGCUAUCUUUGGAUAGUUUGCGGUUUUAUUCUUGCAUUCGCUGCA